UUCAAGUGAUCUGCCCACCUCAGCCUCCCAAAGUGCUGGAAUUACAGGCGUGAGCCAUUGCACCCUGCCUGGACUUGAAUUUUUGUCAGAAAGAGAUUUGCAAUUAAUGCUGAUUGCAACUGAUGGCAGAAUUAAGAUGGAAAGAAACAGAGACAUGAAGAGGUUAAGACAAGUGACGGAGGUCUCAGGGCCAGGCAGGGAAAGAGUGACUUGUUUUGGAGGGUGGGAGCCCACCCACACAAUCAACCACAGUCACCCAGAUCUGCCCACUGAGGUGAGAGAAAGGAGGGGAAAUAAAACAGCAAGCCCUUUUCUUUCCUCCUCAUAUCUGUUCUCAGGACUCAUUUCCUGUCUAACUCAGAGUCACCUUAGAUCCUUAAAAGUGACUGGAACCAAGUCACUAAAAAAAAAAAAAAAGAAAGAAAAAAGCAAUUAUUUUUCACAAUGUGAAGCCUUCUUUGGGAGAAGUUGGCUAGAAAAUAAUAGGAGAAAAGGCUGGAACAACUGUCUAGGACAUUUCCUAAUAUGUUAUUUUCACCCCCCUUCCCUCAAAGGUCAACAAGAUACUCCACUGUGGAAGCUUCUUCAAAAGCAGUUCAUCUGGAUGUCUUCAAUACUCCAGAUGGCUUCUCUAAGUCCUACUCCAGGCCGAUCGUUAUGCAAUCUGUUAUCUUCCUUUCCAACUGUUUUCUCAGGCUUUUUUUUUUUUUUUUAAAUAGGGUAUCACUGUCGCCCAGGCUGGAGUACGGUGGUGUGAUCACAGCUCACUGCAGCCUUGACCUCUUGGGCUCAAGUGAUUCCUCCCACCUCAGCCUCCCAUGUAGCUGGGACUAUAGGCAUGUGCCACCACACCCAGCUGAUUUUUACAUUUUUUGUAGAGAUGGGAUUUCGCUAUGUUUCCCAGGCUAGUCUUGAACUUUUGGGUUCAAGCAAUCUGCCCGGCUCAGCAUCUGAAAGUGCUGGAAUUACAGGUGUGAGCCACAGUGCCUAGCCAGGCUAAUUUCUUAUCUAUUGAAAGCUGGAAUCCAAUGCAGGAAUCCAAUGCAGAAACUAUGUAAGAUUUCAAUCUGUUAUAUAUCUACCAUCUUCCUGAGACAGGCCAUUGAAAGUCAAAUUCCACUGUCAUUUGUUCCAGGGGAAAAAAGAAACAUGAAUAUAUAUGUUUGUAAACACAAAGAUGAUUUCUAAAAAGAUAACCAAUAAACUGGUGAUGGCCCGUGCCUUUGGGUAGGAGAGUUGGGUAACUGGGUUAAAAGGAGGCAGGAAAACUGACACUUUAUUUUUUAUUUAUUUAUUUAUUUUGAGACAGGGUCUCACUCUGUUGCCCAAGCUGGAGUGCACCGGUGGGAUCUCGGCUCACUGCAACCUCCGCCUCCCAGGCUGAAGUGAUCCUCCCACCUCGGCUUCUCAAGUAGCUGGGAUUACAGGCAUGUGCCACCAUGCCCAGCUAAUUUUUUGUAGUUUUUGUACAGACAGGGUUUUGCCGUGUUGGCCAAGCUGGUUUCGAACUUCUGGGCUCAAGCGAUCCUCCUACCUUGGCUUCCCAAAGUUCUGGGAUUACAGGCGUGAGCCACCUUAUCUGGCCAAGGCUGACACUUAAUACCCUUUUGUACCUUUCGAAGGUUGUACCAUUUGCAUGUAUUACUUAUUCCAAAAAUUAAAUGAAAAAACAAAUAAUAGGUGGAACAAAACUGAAGCUUGGAAACUGUGGGAGCCCUUUAUCAGGAAAUAACAAACAUGAUGGUAUCACAUCUUGACUUUCCAGUGAUGGUCAACAACAGAAGCAUUUACCAGAUAGUGAGCUCCCCACAUGCAAGCGGCAACUUUAAUUGUACCUUAAAUCUUUGCCCUUGUAUUAGUUAUCUGUUGCUGCCUAACAAAAUACCCCCAAAUUUAGCAGUUUGAACCACAAGUAUUUAUAAUCUCAGUUUCUUUUUCUUUUUCUUUUUUUUUUUUUUUGAGACGGAGUCUCGCUCUGUCGCCCAGGCUGGAGUGCAGUGGUGCGAUCUCGGCUCACUGCAAGCUCCGCCUUCCAGGUUCACGCCAUUCUCCUGCCUCAGUCUCGGGAGCAGCUGGGACUACAGGCGCCCGCCGCUACGCCCGGCUAAUUUUUUGUAUUUUUUUUUUAAUAGAGACGGGGUUUCACCAUGUUAGCCAGGAUGGUCUUGAGCUCCUGACCUCGUGAUCCGCCCGCCUCGCCCUCCCAAAGUGCUGGGAUUACAGGCAUGAGCCACCGCGCCCGGCCUAUAAUCUCAGUUUCAAUGGAUCAAGAAUCUGGGUAUGGCUCAGGGUCUCCUCCCAAGGCUGCAGUCAAGGUGUGAGCCAGAGCUGCAGUCACCUAAAGGUCGGCCUGGGGAUGAUCCACCUCCAAGCUCACUCACAGGGCUGUUGGCAGGAUUCCAUCCUCUUGGGCUGUUGGCCAGAGGCCAGCUCCAGUUCUUUGCCAUGAAUGUCUCUCCAUGGGGCAGCUGGCUUCUCUUACAGUAAGUGAGAGCAUGAGAGAGCAUCAGCAAGAGGGAAGUGGGGUGUUUCUGUGCCCCAGCCUCAGAAGUGACAUCCCAUCACUGUGGCCAUAUUUUAUUCACUAGAAGGGCAUCACCAGGUCUAACCCCUGCUCAAGGGAGAGGAUUUCCCAGAAACAGAAGAAAUCACAAAUUACACUUCACAAGAAUCCUGAGAUAUUUUAGAAAGGUUCCAAAUUUGGCCAAAAGUAGCUUAAGAAGGCUUUUAUGGACCAAGCAUAAGAAGUUUAGCAGGGCUGGGUGUAAUGGCUCACACUUGUAAUUCCAGAACUUUGGGAGGCUGAGGUGGGCAGAUUGUUUGAGCCCAGGAGUUCGAGACCAGCCCAGGCAACAUAGCAAAACCCCAUCUCUACAAAAAAUGCAAAAAUUAGCUGGGCAUGUGCUUGUGGUCCCAGCUACUCGGGAGGCUGAAGUGAGAGGAUUGCUUGAGCCUGGGAGGUCGAGGCUACAGUGAGCUGUUACUGCACCACUGCACUCCAGCCUGGGCGACAGAGUGAUACCCUCCCUCAGAAAAAAAAAAGGAAGAAGAAGAAGGAGAAGGAGAAGAAGAAAGAAGUGUAGCAGCAGAGAGAAAUUACUUCACUCAAACCAGCAUUGAGAGAGGCAGAGAAUUAGGAGCACUCACAGGCAGAGCUGAAAGGCUCCCAGAAGGGGCAAAAAUAAAAUGUAAAAUUAACCUUUGAAAUCCAAAGUUGGUAUCAGGUAUAGCCUAAUGUUCACUUUUUAAUUUUAGCAACACCGAACAUGGUAUUUCUACCUUAUUUUUAGUAUAAUUAUCCAUUCUUAACUUGUGUAAUGAAAGAAAAAAUAGGGGCGGGCAUGGCGGCUCACGCCUGUAAUCCCAGCACUUUGGGAGGCCGAGGCGGGUAGGUCACGAGGUCAGCACUUCGAGACCAGCCCAACCAACAUGGUGAAACCCCGUCUCUACUAAAAACACAAAAAAAUUAGCUGGGCGUGGUGGCGGGUGCCUGUAAUCCCAGUGACUUGGGAGGCUGAGGCAGAAUUGCUUGAAAACUGGAAGACAGAGGUUGCAGUGAGCCGAGAUUUCCCACUGCACUCCAGCCUGGGAAAUAAGAGCAAAACUCCGUCUCAAAAAAAAAAAAAAGAGAAAGAAAGAAAAAAUAACAAAAAUAACAUAGGUAAAUUAACAGUUAUAAUAUUAAACAGUCUCUUUUGGCUAAACCUGUUAUAAAUCACCACGGCAUAUAAAUGUUAGAGCUUAGAUGCUGAAUAAACCAACUGGCCUUGAAGCCCACAUUUCUAAUUCUCAUAACAGAUUUAUUAUGAAUCUCAAAUUUCACAAAUUUGUCUGUCUGUGUAAAAUUGUUUUGGAAGAUGUCAAUAAAUGUAGAGGAAUGUUUAAAAUCUGAAGUUGGAAAAAGGUAAAGCAAACAUUAGUUUUUAAUCUUUUGCUCACUUGAGUAAAUCCUUGAAAGGAUUAAAAAAUAUCCAACUUGUGAAAUUUGUUUAAAGUCCUUUUAAAAUAAAAAUGCAUAAAUGUAUAAUUACUCUAAACCUAACUGAAGACUUUAUAGAAUUCACCCAAUUUGAAAACAGGUCUUCUGGCCUGUUUCCCAAGUCAUUAUGCACAGCUGUGGGAAACAUCCUGUUGUAUGUUUACAUAUAUUAACAGCUUCAGGAAUUUCACAAUUAAAACUAUGGUGGGCUGGUUUCCAAUUCAGGCAGCUGGGUGAGGGGGUGUGGAGAGCAGGCAAACCAGAAAUAAAAACAAGCUUCUUGAAAGAUGGGGGAAAGGAAAUCGUAACUACUUAGUAAUCAGGAGUCCAUAUAGUUUGCCAGUUCUACUAAACGCUGGAGGGAUUUCAUUUAAACCCUAAGAAAUACACUUGUUCAAUCAUUUUGCAGCCUUCAAAAUCUCUCAGUUGGCUUCAACCAAGAGGUUGCCUGAUGGAGGUAAUAUUGUACACGAUAUGUAAAAAACUUUUAUUUUUUUCUGUGGACAGUUUCACCCCAACAGAAGGAAGCUGUGGUUUCACCUUUCUCUCUUUUGUUUUUCCAGCAUGCCUGCCCCUCGUCCUGACAUAACUGAUUAGGAAAUGAUUUCUAAAUGGUCAAGAGUCCAGCCUCGAUAGCCACUUCUCUGAUUCCAACAGAAUUUCUACAGAAGACAAUUUCCUUGUCUCAGCAAGGUAUGUAUGAUAUAUGUGGCCUGGCCAGGCCGGCUGCUCAAACAGAGCUGUGUUUGGGUCAGCCCACUGUUUAAAAUGUUAAAAUCAGACAUGAAGACCAUUCACAUAACCACUGCUGGUCAGAUAUGAGUCAUCUCCAAGAACACCAAAAAAGGAAGCAUUAAAUGCUGAUUGGUCUCCUUCAAAAUCACUUGGGAAACUCCAGAAAGGGAAGGGAUAAAACACAGGAACUUCUACUUCUUCAAAGUCUCCCGAGGUGAUUUUUAAUACUCAGAAGUUGGGACUGAGUUCCUGAUCUAGGUUGAAGUGUAAUGUGAAUUCCAUUCUUGCCAGUAGGUGCGUUAUUUUAAUCAUUAUCUUUAUUCUUGAGACUGUUUCACUCCAUCUGGAGACAGCUUUGUUGAGUUUUGGCAACACUGCAGAGUUGUUAAAAUCAUAAAACAGAACCACCUGUUUUUGAGCUAUAUGGGUUAUUAGAAAAAAUAUCCAAAAUUCUUUAUUUUUACAAGAGGAAUCCAGAGCUCAGAAAGAUUAGGGGAGGUGUGAGUGCUGAACUUGUAUUUAGUCUCCCUGGGCCUCAGUGUCCCCAUCUGUAAAGUGAAAAUUAAUAUAUUCAUUAAUUGAUCAGUUAUUGAAUGCCUACUAGGUUGUGGACUCCAGGGAUGAAGAAGAUACGUGAUCUCUCACUAUAACUUAAAUCCUAACACAGACUGUUACAGUUCAAUAUGGGAAACAUAGGUGGGUGCAGUGGCUCGCACCAGUAAUUCCAGUACUUUGGGAGGCCGAGAUGGGAGGAUAGCUUGAUGUUGAUGCCAGGAGUUUGAGACCAGCCUGAACAACAUAAGGAUACCCCUGUCUCUACAAAAGAAGAAAUUUUAAUUAGCCAGGCAUAGUGGCACACACCUGUAGUCCUAGCCACUCAGGAGGCUGAGGCUGGAGGAUGGCCUGAGUCCAGAAGUUUAAAGCUGCAGUGAGCUGUGUAUGAUCAGGCCACUGCACUCCAACCUGGGCAACAGAGCGAGAACCCAUCUCUAAAAACCAGUAAUAAUAAUAUUUAAAAUACAGUAAAUGCCAGGAGAAGACAAUAUGCUCAGGUUGCAGUGGGAGCUUGGCAAAACCAUACCUAACCCAGCCUGGGAAGCACAUGGGAGGCCUCUGCCAUAGGGCAGAAAGCUGCUGCAGUGAAAUCCAUUUAAUUGGAGAAUGGAGCAGAAAGGGCAGAAGAUGCAAAGAAGCCCUGCUGUCUAUAGAAUUUGCGAAAAUAAGAUGAAGCAAUAGUUUGCCAGCAGCAAAUAACUACACAGAUAUGAGCUAUGAAAUUAAGUAAGACUCAUCAAGGCCACCCACAGCUGCUGCGUUGCAGACGCCAAUCCAGCAUCCUUACGUUACACCAUUCAUUUAUUUCAAUCAUUUUCCCCAUAGGUUUAUAUCUAGACAUUUCCAUAAACCCAAGUAAAUUUUUUAUUAUGCGUGUAGGCAUCCUAUAAAGAGUAGACUCUUACAUUGUCUACUUUCCAAGCCAUUCUCUGUCUUGACUACGCAUGAGAGAAUCAGCCAGGUUUAUCCCAGACUGGCUAAUAAGACUCUGGCAAGGAGAACUCAGGCAUCAAUGUUUUUGAUGCUUCCCAGGUGAACUUGAGAAUCUCAUUUAUCAAAAAGUCAAGAAUGAAUGGUGCGCACACACACAGACAAAAAAUUCUUCAGUCACCUCUGGUUUAUGCAUUUUUAGAAAGGCUCCAGAUAAUAUGAAAUCUAUUUGUUUGAGCCUUGACUAUAAUAUGAUUCUUUUAGGAAAACAGAUUUACUGUCUAAAUGAUACCUGGCUCAGAUUAAUUCUAGUUUGUCUCUUUUUUUUUUUUUUUUUUUUUUUUUUUGAGACAGAGUCUCACUCUUGUUGCCUAGGCUAAAGUGCAAUGGUGCAAUCCUGGCUCACUGCAAACUCGCCUCCUGGGUUCAAGCAAUUCUCGUGGCUCAACCUCCCGAGUAGCUGGGAUUACAGGCACCCACCACCAUGCCCAGCUAAUUUUUUUAUUUUUAGUAGCGACAGGGUUUCACCAUGUUGGUCUGGCUGGUCUCAAACUCCUGAGCUCAAGUGAUCUGCCUGCCUCAGCCUCCCAAAGUGCUGGGAUUACAGGCGUGAGCCACGGUGCCCGGCCUAGUUUGUCUUUUCUAAAGAUGCACUGGCUGAAGGGAGGCGGGGACGUUCCUAGAAGUAUGAUGGGUGACAGAGAACACACUAUUCAGGUUAAGAAUGCUCUACAGAGAGACUAUAAAGUAGAAACUGUAAAGAUUACAGGGGAAAGAGGGCAUCUGAUGGAACGCAGGCAUGGAUAAGAUAAUAUUUAUAUAUCUUUAUGUUUAACAAAAGUUCUAACAUGCUUACUGUGGUCCUUUGAAACUGAUGACAGGCACACAACAGGGUGGACACAUAUGGUUUAACAAACAAGUCUUUUUUAUGUAUUUAUUUCCUUUAAUAAUAUAGAAAGACUGUGGGGAAUAAGAACUUUAAAAAUAUCGAAUAUGCCUGGUAGAUGCUGCCUUAAGUGAAGCAAGACUCCUGAUAUUCACAAGAAGAGACAAUAUAAAAGGAAAUUGAAGACCGGGCAUAGUGGCUCAUACCUGCAAUCCCAGCAAUUUGGGAGGCCAAGGCAGGUGGAUCACUUGAGGUCAGGAGUUCAAAACCAGCCUGGCCAACAUAGUGAAACCCUAUCUCCACUAAAAAUACAAAAAUUAGCCAGGCAUGGUGGCACGCGCUUGUAAUCCCAGCUACUCAGGUGGCUGAGGCAGGAAAAUUGCUUGAACUGGGAGGCAGAGGUUGCAGUGAGCUGAGAUCGCGCCACUGAACUCCAGCCUGGGUGGCAGAGUGAGACCCCGUCUUAAAAAAAAAAUAAAAAUAAUAAAGGAAAUUAAGCAUUGAAGAAAACACAGAAGCCGUCUCCUCUACCAUACAUCGAAGGGCGCAUGGUGACAGAGCUGUUGUCAUUUCAACAGUAUUUCUGGGCUUCCCCUGUUCUCUACAUCCUUGCUACUUGAAAAAGAAAGAGUGAGCAGAGGACAUAACUCAGGAGGGACUCCUACUUUAAUUUUUACUGGGGUGGGCAGAGACUACGCUGAAGAAAUGACAUUUGGGCCAAAAGGCAAAAGAUAAGGAGCCUUUCAGAGGAAGAGCUUUUCAAGCGAGAAAGCAGCAAAUCUGAAGUUCCUGGGACAGGAAGGGACUCGUCAUGCUUCAGAAACUGAAGGAGAAAAAGAAUGGAAUUUGCAGGGGGAAGCCGGGGUCAGGGCGGGCUGGGCAUAGAGAGCUGUGGAGAGAAGGUAGCUGUUGUUAAAACCACAGCAUGAGCUACUGCAAGGGUUGGCAGGAUCUGAGUGGGUGCUCUGGUUUGGAAGGGGCAGGGUAGAAGUGUAGCCCUCAUGUAAGAAGGCUACUGGAAUGGUCCAGGAGAGGGAGGAUGACAGCUUGAACCUCGCGGAUGGCAGCGGAGAUAGAGGUUAUCAGGUGGAGUCAAGGUCUUCCAGAGGUAGAAGCAACAGGCCUUGGAGACGGAUUGGAAAUGAAAGCAGGGUGCAGUCUGGAAGAGAAAGGGGUCAGAGAUCAAGUCCAGGCUUAAGCCAGAAGGCUUAAGCACCAGCUAGAGGGGUAUCAUCUUCUCAACUGAUGUCAGAGUUCAAUGCUCGAGGUGCUGUGUUUAGGGGCAUGCAGGAGAGUAUUAUGAAACGUGCAGGAGAGUAUUAUGAAACGUGCCUAUGACUAAGUCCUGCGAAACCGUAGCAUUUUAAGAGGACUCCUACCCGUGGUUUAGGGUAGAAUUCCUCAGCCUCAACCCUAGUGACGUUUUGGGUAAGAUACUUCUUUGUUGUAGAGGCUGAGCUGCAUAUUGUAGGAUAUUUAGAAGUAUCCCUGGCCUUGACCACUGGACGCUUGUAGCAUCCUGAAUUGUGACAACUUAAAAUGUUCCCCAGGGAGCAAAAGUCACAUCUGGUUGACUAAGUUAAGUAUACUUUUACAAAGUCUUUAAUAAACUGGUGCCGGUCUUCUGUCUCAAAAAGUUCACGGGCAGGCCAGAGUAAGAGCUUCACAAAUCAUUUCAAUUUUCUCAUGUUCCGGCUUUGUUGACAAGCACCUAAAAUUGACUUUAAAAAACCAGACCUAGUAUUAAGGUGGAUGCUGCCUCAUCGAAUUAGAAAACAAUUGGAGUUAUACUAACCCCAAAAUACACAAGAUCUUGAAAAAUCUUUAUCCUUUGUCUUUUGACAACAACAUAAACCCAAAAUAGAGCAGUGAGUGGAUAUAGGUGUUAGCUGGAUUUUCCCCUGUAUGUAAAUAUUUCAUAGCUCAGAGUUAUGGGAUGGUGUUUAUUUCAAAUAACAUUUGUAAAAAUAUCUCUAACCCAAACCAAAAUGCCAUAAGAGUCCUUUUUUUCCUAAGUAGAUGCUUAAAACAAAUUCCCGAUAUUUUUGUUGCAUUUCCAAAGUAUGGCAGUAAGUAUCAAAAGUUAGUGCAAAAAUCUUUAAAUAUCUAUUUUUGUUGUUGUUGUUGUUUUGUCUCGUUCUGUUUUGUUUUUUUGAGACGGAGUCUCGCUCUGUUGCCCAGGCUGGAGUGCAGUGGUGCAAUCUCAGCUCUCUGCAAGCUCCACCUCCAGGGUUCAAGUGACUCUCCUGCCUCAGCCUCCUGAGUAGCUGGGAUUACAGGCGCGUGCCACCAUGCCCAGCUAAUUUUUGUAUUUUUAGUAGAGAUGGGGUUUCACCAUGUUGGCCAGUCUGGUCUCAAACUCCUCACCUCAAGUGAUCCACAUGCCUCAGCCUCCCAAAGUGUUGGGAUUACAGGCAUGAGCCACCGUACCUGGCCGUAAGUAUCUAUUUGUGUUUGUGACUAUUAUACUAAGUUAUGAAGUCCAAGAAAGAACUUGGUUAUUCUCCUCUGGCAGCUUAGUGAAGGAGUAAAAGCCAUAAAAUUCACUUAAUUAGGCCACGGUGGAUUCUUUUCAUUGUAGAGUCACUAUAAAAACAGCCAACAAUUAUUGGUUCGAUGUUGUUCAAUGGCCUUCUCUCUCAUAAAACAUGUGUCUAAUAACGGCAGCUAAUGCUAGUACCUAUCAGUGUGGAAAGGCAUGUUUCUGACUUUACUAUUUAAUGUGUAAUUAUAGAACAGGUGCUACAAUUUAAGAACUGCGCUGGGGGCUGAGCUACAACAUGAGUCUUGCCAAGGUGCUAUUCUCACCAAGGUGGCCACUAGUGUAAACACAGACAAAUAGACCAGCAAUGACAAUAUAGCUCAGGGAUGCCACACCCCUAGGCCCACAUCUGUCCUGCUUCUCACCUGCUCAAGGUGACAGGACUAAGGAAUCCUAACACACCUUUGCUGCCGUGGCUGGACAUCACUUCAGAAUCCAGCUCGUCAAAAGCCUCUCAGCCAGGGAUUCUCAAUCUGGAGCAGGCAUCAGAAUCACCUGGAAGUUUUAUUAGGACACUGAUUGCUGGGUCUUAACCCCAGAGCUUCUGAGUCAGUGACUCUAGAGUGCAGCCCCCAGUCAUGCUGAUGUUGCUGGUCCAGGGACCAUACUUUGAAAACCAGUGUCUAGGCAACCACCACUGAUCAAGCCACAUCUGAUAUAAAAGCUAGCUACCAUCUCCGAGAUGGUACCACCUAUGCUAAGAUGAGAAUGUACAGGGAACCACUAGAACAAAGGAAGAGUCCCUCACUUUGGUCUGGGAAAGACAAGGAAUCAGGAAAUCUUCCAGGAGGAGGUAGCACCUCAAGUGAUCCACCCAUCUCGGCCUCCCAAAGUGCUGGGAUUACAGGCGUGAGCCACUGUGCCCAGCCAAGCCCCUUUAUUUCAAAAACACAAUGUGUUCUUCCAAUGGUUCAUGAAAACUAGAAACACAAAAAAAUGUUAAAGGGUGUUUUUAAAAAUUAAGGUUUGCUUGAAAGAGAUACUCUUAUCUUUUUUACGUCUAGUAAGGGGUAUUGAAAUACAGCAGAUAUGGAGAACAACAUCGACUUGGAACAGAAGAAUGACCCCUAACAACUUAGAGCUUAGACAAAUUUGAGAGUUUACAAAGACUGCCAGACAGGAUGUUAUGUUAGAAAUACAUUUAAGCGAUAUUAAAAUAAGUAUUCAAAUACAAAAUUUUGAAGACAGGAAACUUCAUAAUAUUCAUGUUAAAUUCUCAGGAUCCUCUGGACCGGAAAUCAUUGUAUAAUGCCUAAGAUAUCGUGGCAAACAAAAUUUUACAAGCAAAUAAAAUGUACUUUAGUUCUCA
Long non-coding RNA from Homo sapiens (human), 10936 nucleotides. RefSeq lists it as uncharacterized. NCBI's taxonomy places the organism in Eukaryota, Metazoa, Chordata, Mammalia, Primates, Hominidae. The record is from RefSeq and is a predicted model, not a curated record. The transcript is spliced from 2 exons.